AUGAUGAUUCUAGUGUUUCUCCAAAGAAGGUUUCAGACAAGACCGUGUCAGGCACCGACUGCUCUGAUGGGGUGGAGCCAACUGAAACCUCAGUCAUCCACUGGCAUUGUGGUUUCUGAUGCUGAGCAGGGUAAGACAGCUGGAGAUAUCAUUUUGGAGAUAGAUCCCGUCGAGACUGCUGUUGAGACUGAUGGUAGUGCUGCUGCAGGCCCGGAGAGGACUCCUGCAGCAGAGCCAUCAGUUGUUGUUGAUGGUGGUUCUCUAUCUGGGCCAACUGCUCCAACUGCUCCAACAUUUUUUGUUGUUUUAGAUUCUCUAGCUACUCCAAAUGUUGUUGUUGUCCUCACUGAUGAUGCUGCAAUGUCUACAGGAGAUGACGAUGAAGAGACCGAAAGCGAUAGCGUGGGAGAGGAGGCUGAUCAUUCCAGUGCUGCGACUGGAAUAGGCAAGAAUCCAUAA
RNAcentral lists this ribosomal RNA (459 nucleotides) under Triticum aestivum (bread wheat). Its description in RNAcentral is "partial small subunit ribosomal RNA". The record is from RNAcentral. Lineage: Eukaryota; Viridiplantae; Streptophyta; Magnoliopsida; Poales; Poaceae.